Molecule: transfer RNA, 74 nt
Filed under: Planctomycetaceae bacterium
Lineage: Bacteria; Pseudomonadati; Planctomycetota; Planctomycetia; Planctomycetales; Planctomycetaceae
Also listed under: 2 other names
Description: tRNA-Arg
Rfam family: tRNA
About the family: Transfer RNA (tRNA) molecules are approximately 80 nucleotides in length.
Source: RNAcentral
GCGACCGUAGCUCAAUUGGAUAGAGCAUCGGUCUACGAAACCGAAGGUUGGAGGUUCGAGCCCUCCCGGUCGCG